CGACGGCAGCUUCUCUUCUUUCUUCUUUCUCUGUCUUUCAAAACAUAGCAGCAUCAAUCGAUGUCAAGAGCUUUUCUUUGCUUUUGUCCUCUGGACAAAACUCCAUUCUUUUUAUGAGACCCAGAGGUCUCCCCUCAAUUUCUGGCAUUUGAUUGUACUUGGAAGAGAUUGUAAUCUCAAUUGGAGGGUCCGGAUUUUUCCUUCUGCAGAGUGGCUGCUUAGGAUUUGAUGGACGAUGGGCUCGAGACAGAAAAGGGCUGGUAAUCUUCUUCCCCUUCCACUCCCGGUUUCUCCCAGUUUUCCCUCUUGUUCUUCUUCAUCUUCCUCCCUCCCUCGAGUAGUUAGGGCUAAUUUUUUCUGUUUUCCUAUCAUUUUCCUGAUAUUUCUAUUUCAUUGGCUAAAAGCAGCAAAUCUUUUUUUUUUCUCUCAUCUCUGUCGUGUCCUUUUGUGAAACAGUAAGGACAGGGAAGGUCAAUAUUUCAUCUCCACUAUCUGAUGUGAAUUUCUAGAAUGCAGAUAUAUGGUACUUUUCUUCCCCUUUCUUUCCAUGAUUAAUGUCUCUGUUUCAUUUCUGUUUUAUCAUUGAUUUUUAAUUUUUAAUCAGAAGAAAAACUUUUAAUAUGGUCUGAGAUGAUGAAUAAUUGAUGAUUAGCUAGCUUUUAGAUAUUUAUUUACUUUCUUUUUUGUAUCUAUUUGGUGAUUUAUUGUUCCAUUUUUCGUUUUUGUCUUGGAUUUCUUCUGGAGUUCGGAGGAAAAAUGGCCACUUGUGAAAAACAACUGGUGAGUGAAAAUGUAAGUUUGCUGCAUCAAUCUGAUUUAAUUUUUCCCUCUUCCACGCCUGGUUUAGGAUUUGAUGGAUGAUUUUUUUUCCAUUUUUUUUGUUCUUUUGGUGCUACUUUUCCAAGUAUAUUAUUGGUUGUUGUUACAGGAAGGAAUAUGAAAACUUGAAGUUGACAUCUCUAAGAAGUAGUUAAAGCUGGUAAUAUUUAUUUGUGUUCUACUAUUUAUACUAUAAACCAUAGUCUUUUUCUGUAAAUGGUUUCUCUCACCUAAUUUAGCCUAUUUUUGUUUAUUGAGGUUGUUGUCAGAGAAAGGAUAAAGGUAAAAGUGAUUGGAAGAAUGAGCAAAUUUCUUCCGGUGUUUUGUGUUUUGGGUUUUAUUGUGUUUGUCAAAGUAAAUUAGAUACAGUAUCUUUUUCUUCUGUAUCUUCUUUUUUUCCCUUGGCUGGCAAACAUAAUGAAUCUGUUAUAUAAACUACUUGGUAUUCUUCGUAAUGUCAAGAUUUGGGAAGCUGUAUGAUGAAAUCUUUAUUUCAUAGUCGAUUUUUCUGGUUUUGUGGUUUUAACGUGCAAAGUGAAAUCAUUAUUAUGACUAACUUCCUUGAGGAUGUUUUGAUCAGUUCAUGAUUCAUGAGAUACAUAGUUAUAUGGAUUACAUAAAUGGAGUUUCAAAAGCAAAAUCCAUUUAAUCUACUAUGAAGAUACCAUCUUUCCUCUUUUAAAUUACUAAAAAAACUUGGCUCGAUCUUUGACUGGAAAAAUUAUGUUCAGAAAAUAGUAUUCCUGUGCGUCACACAAUUGACAUUUGAUGUUGGACCCAAUAUUGCAUUUAAAAAAAAAAAAGAAAAAUUGGAAAAUAAUGCAUAGGAACUUCUCUAGAAUUUGCUUCCAUAUAUAUGUACAAUGUUUUGUUCCCUUUGGGGAAAUUUCAUCAGUGACAUUAUUUUUAUUGAUUGAUUUCUGUUGGUAAGACCAGCUUUUAUACUCUCUCAAUAGAUUUCUUCUCUUGUUUCUGUUAUCGCCAUUUUUUUUUGUGGAUUCUUCUUUCUUCUAAGCAACUUUAAAGGUUCUUUUCUUUAUAUGAAUAUGUUAUUAUUGGGGUACAUCUAAUCCUAAUCCUACUUCUGUAGCAGGAAAUGACCAUACAUUGGGUUUUGUUACUGGUGGGUCUGCUCAUGUUCAAAUGCAACUUAGCACCAAAGAGUGUGAGAGUCUGGGAUUAACUGGUCUGGCUCUCUGCUUAGACUGCAACACCUUUGCUGAGUAUGUCAAGGACCAAGGUUGUACCUUUAUUAUAUGAAUUUUGUUGAUCCUCAGAUAUUUAUGGUUUUUGGUGGAUUUUACUUCUGGGUUUUGAUGGGUUUUUUGAAUUGAUUACUUGCUGGUAAGUACAUGGGUUGUAAAAUGGUAAUAUUUGGGAUUCUUGUUUCUGUACUAUAGCUGAUUGGUUGUCAAAAUUAACGAAUAGUGGGAGAUAGAUGCAAUUCUUAUUGCUUUUAGUUGAUUUAAGGUCUGGGUUUUUUUUUGUUUGGAUUUAUGAAUUGCUUAUUUAUAUGUGAGAUGUCAAUGGUGAUAAUUUGGAAGGAGAACUUGAAAAAGGCUAUGUUUUUAUACAAAUCAGAUCGAGAGACUAUGCUUAUAACAGUAAAUAAGUGUAUUUUGACUUUUGUUGUUUUCACUAUAAUUUUUUGUGAUUAAGUUUUGUCAAAAUAUGGAUGGGUAAAUAGUAUUUUGGAAGAUUUCUCUUUUUUCUUUUUGUACCUCAGAUAGCUUAAGGAUAAUUGCAGAAAUCGAAAUAAGAUCCUCAUUGGGAUUCUUAAAUUAUCUCAUGCAAUUAGUGGCGUUAAAUUGUAAUCUGUAGAAUUCCAAGUAACUAGCCUGGAUUAUGGUGAUGGUUCAGUUUUGUUGCUCUUGAGGAUGUUUUGCACCUGAGCUGACGAUGAUCAAGGCAUGCAAGAACAAUAGUUCUACGAUCAUGAUUUCCUAAGUUACGACUUGUAGUUCAUUAUAUUUGAUGAUUAGGACCAUACGCAUUAAAUUGGAAUAUUCUAUUGGCAUCCUUUAUUGUACCAAAUGAAGUACUAUCAAGACAAAUUCUGAAUGGAAAUAUGCCAUUUUUUGAAACCUAUACCAGAGAACCCUUAUUCUUCAACCCUUUUACAUCCAUUCUGGUGAAUUUGAAAAAUUUAAAUAGCUGAAACUUGUGUAACAGAAUUCAUCAAUUAUAUAAUGACUUAGAUUUGUUAAAGAAUUUUGGAUUGUAAGAUUACAAUAAACUUUUUGAACAUUCUGCAAUAAUUUACUUAAGAGGAAGAAAAUUGCUCAUGUCGUCAAGAAAUCCUGGAUGUUUGACAAGAUCUGCAUUUAACAUAUCCAGUUUAGAUGGCAACUUAUAUAGAUUUCUGUAUAAUAUUGGAAUGAUCUUUUUUAGCAUUCCGCAAAUAAUAUACUAAGUAGAAUAUGAUAAUCUGGAAAAUCCGAUGUUUGAAAAGACUCCGGAUGCAGUUUAGAUUUGUCAGUGCCUCUCAGAAAUCUGCCCCUUGGCUUUACCUUAGGCUUAGAGAUGGCUUGCUGGAUUGGUCUAUUUUUAUCUAUUGAUUUUCAUUGUGAAUUUUUGUGUCCAAAGCUUGGUUUUGACUUUCUUGGUUUUGCAUCUGCAUCACCGCAUGAAGCUGCAGCCGGGGAAAACUUCAUUGACAGAGUUUUCAUUAUGGGUCUAUAGAGACUGCAUUUUGGAGAUCUCUUUUGUAUGUGGAUAGGAUUAUAUGUUAUUUUAAAGUUUCUUUUAUGCAAAAAAAAAAAGGAAAAAGAAAAAGAAAAAAAGAUGUUAAAUUUGUUGUAUGUUGUUGACGUAAAACAUAUCUUGCAUCUGAAAUAUUUUCAUUGUGUAAUUAUUUGAUUUGGUUUUUCAAAACUCAUUCAUUGUCGUAAUAAGAUUUUAGACACGAGAUAAUGGCUUGUUUCUCUUAUCAGUUAUAUGUAGAUCUUUAGUCCACCAUUAUCAGUUAUAACUACGUGAUUUAUAGGCUAAAAUGCAUAUGUUGUUUUUUAUUUUCUGUUCUUUAUUUGUAUACCUAGCAUUCAUGUUUGAGAAAAAAUUGAUUGGCAGGAGGUAUUUAUCCGAAUAAGAUGGUGGCUCAAAAUGCGUGGCUCAAAAUGCAUCUGCUGUUUAUUGGCUUUCUAUUCUUUAUUUAUAUAUCCAACAUUAAUGUUUGACAAAAAGUUGAAUGGCAAGAGGUAUUAUUCAAAUAUAAUGGUGGCUCAAACUUAGGAGUAGGGAAUAUGUUCUUGACGACUUUGUUUAUAUUUCAUGUUUUAUUAUUUCCUUACAAUUUUGCAAUGAAGUGUGGCAAAAACUACGGGUGCGUUACCUGUGAUUUAACAAGAUUGUCAUUAUACUAUUUACACAAAAUGUUAUUAAAUUCUAAUAUGAUUCCUUCUUGGCAGAUCUGAUUGAUAUUUGGAUAGCUGGAACUUGGAAGCUAAUGGAAGCUUAUGGAGUUUUGUCAUGAAUGCUUGAUACUUUGUUUUAUCCUUUCCAAUAUCUUUACCAGAAGUCAUUAGUUACUUCAACAGCCACUUGCUAUAGUAGAGAUAUCAAACUUUGUGAUGCUUUUUUUUUUUUUAAUUUUGACCACUAAUACAUAGUUCCACUAUAAUUGGCUGAUUGAACGCGACGGAAGAUAAGAAAGACGAGAGGCAUUUCUAGAAAUAGCAGUCAAUAUUUCUGGAUGAAUGUAUCUUAUAUCUUAAAUUGUAACUUUUCACAGGUAAUGAGGUGCAUCGUACAGUUGGUGAGCUUAUCUCAAUUAUGUGUUAUUAUGCUCUUCAACUUUAUUAGUGUUAUUUCUUUUCUUAAUUGAAAUGUUGACAAAAUACUUCAUUAUCUACCACAUAUAGAAAAUGAUAAAAAAAUAAUUUAUGGUUGGAAAAAUAAAGCCAAUGAGGGCUCUGGUCGUUUUAGCCUUUUAACUUCCCACUGGGCAUGUUAAACUUGUAACUUCACACCGCGCAUGGUGCGGUGUUCCUCUCCUAGUAUAAUAAAGUGUAAAAUACACAAAACCCCCUUAUGGUUAGGUCUAAGGUCAUGAGAUCUCUCUAUUAUUUAAAAAUAACUAGAAGACCCCAUUUUGGUUGGGACUUAUUUGGGAAAUGAACAAAAACUAUGCAAAUAAUAGAGAGUGAACUGUACACUCUUGAUACGCAAGUAUGGAUGACAAUGUAAGAUGGUAAUUUGAUGUUGAUUUUACUUUACUUUUUUUUCUUUUUGUUUUCUUUUCUUCUUUUUUAUUUCUAAUUUUGCCCUUGUUUCAGCAAACUAGAAUCCCAUGAGCAAAAAUAUAGUUGUGCGACCAUCGGCCCAUUCGGCCACCACUGUGUCGGCUGCGACGGCUACUAUCGAAACUUUAUCAAAUAUGCAUCCCGAGCUCUAUUUGUGGUGCAGAUUUAUUUCCGGUGUCCAAUUUGGUCAAAAAAUGGAACAAAAAGUAGUAAAAUAGGUUUAGAAUCGAAAUGGAUCUAACCCUCUUUGUACCCUCAAAUCACAACCAAAUCUUGUACAAUUUAGUACUAAGAUGAUCUUCAAGAGCCAUCAUAUAGAUAUGUAUCAUCAAUUUUACACGAAAAUGCAUGAAAAUUCUUGAAUUUAUAUUGAGAUAUAACAGUAAUAGAGAUGACGAUAAAAAUGUACACGACAACAAUGGCGAGAAGGUGACGGUAGUGGCAAGCAAAUUGUUGGUUUGAUUGACAGAUGGAAGUGAUAGGGUGUAAUUUCGCUAUUUAUUUUAUUAUUAAUUUUCCCUAUUACCUGACCUGAUGUGAAUUAAUUAGUAGAUUCAACUUACUUUUCGUAAUUUGCACUUAUUUCAGGGAGUAGAACGAAAAUGUGAUAACAGGUGCCAAUUUGACAGAAACGAAGUCCAGAUGAUAAAGAUGGUCCCGGGGGCGUUUUUGGAAAGAGGAGAUAUCACG
Molecule: long non-coding RNA, 5750 nt
Filed under: Coffea arabica (coffee)
Lineage: Eukaryota; Viridiplantae; Streptophyta; Magnoliopsida; Gentianales; Rubiaceae
Description: long non-coding RNA (CARA_LNC002306)
Source: RNAcentral